RNAcentral lists this transfer RNA (74 nucleotides) under Candidatus Bathyarchaeota archaeon. RNAcentral's name for it is "tRNA-Lys". It matches the Rfam family "tRNA". Rfam says of the family: Transfer RNA (tRNA) molecules are approximately 80 nucleotides in length. Their secondary structure includes four short double-helical elements and three loops (D, anti-codon, and T loops). Further hydrogen bonds mediate the characteristic L-shaped molecular structure. tRNAs have two regions of fundamental functional importance: the anti-codon, which is responsible for specific mRNA codon recognition, and the 3' end, to which the tRNAs corresponding amino acid is attached (by aminoacyl-tRNA synthetases). tRNAs cope with the degeneracy of the genetic code in two manners: having more than one tRNA (with a specific anti-codon) for a particular amino acid; and 'wobble' base-pairing, i.e. permitting non-standard base-pairing at the 3rd anti-codon position. The record is from RNAcentral. Lineage: Archaea; Thermoproteati; Candidatus Bathyarchaeota. RNAcentral also lists the same sequence under 1 other name.
GGGCCCGUAGCUCAGUCAGGUAGAGCGGCAGGCUCUUAACCUGUUGGUCGGGGGUUCGAAUCCCUCCGGGCCCG